RNAcentral lists this non-coding RNA (29 nucleotides) under Mus musculus (house mouse). The record is from RNAcentral. Lineage: Eukaryota; Metazoa; Chordata; Mammalia; Rodentia; Muridae.
UUUCAAAUAUGUGUAUUUUGGAAGUGAUC